AGUGAACGCUGGCGGCAGGCCUAACACAUGCAAGUCGAGCGGCAGCGCGUCCGACCACCCUCGGGUGGUCGGAUGGCGGCGAGCGGCGGACGGGUGAGGAAUGCAUCGGAAUCUGCCUCGUUGUGGGGGAUAACGUAGGGAAACUUACGCUAAUACCGCAUACGACCUACGGGUGAAAGUGGGGGACCUUCGGGCCUCACGCGAUGAGAUGAGCCGAUGCCGGAUUAGCUAGUUGGCGGGGUAAAGGCCCACCAAGGCGACGAUCCGUAGCUGGUCUGAGAGGAUGAUCAGCCACACUGGAACUGAGACACGGUCCAGACUCCUACGGGAGGCAGCAGUGGGGAAUAUUGGACAAUGGGGGCAACCCUGAUCCAGCCAUGCCGCGUGUGUGAAGAAGGCCUUCGGUUGUAA
RNAcentral lists this ribosomal RNA (411 nucleotides) under uncultured bacterium. Its description in RNAcentral is "bacterial SSU rRNA". It matches the Rfam family "Bacterial small subunit ribosomal RNA", at positions 30 to 428 of the family's 1533-position model. The record is from RNAcentral.